This 451-nucleotide ribosomal RNA is filed under the name uncultured bacterium. RNAcentral describes it as "partial 16S ribosomal RNA". It matches the Rfam family "Bacterial small subunit ribosomal RNA", at positions 29 to 523 of the family's 1533-position model. The record is from RNAcentral.
AACGAACGCUGGCGGCAGGCCUAACACAUGCAAGUCGAACGGGUGUAGCAAUACAUCAGUGGCGCACGGGAGAGUAACGCGUGGGAACCUACCUUUUGGUUCGGAAUAACGUCGGGAAACUGACGCUAAUACCGGAUAAGCCCUACGGGGGAAAGAUUUAUCGCCGAAAGAUGGGCCCGCGUUAGAUUAGCUUGCUGGUGAGGUAACGGCUCACCAAGGCUACGAUCUAUAGCUGGUCUAAGAGGAUGAUCAGCCUCACUGGGACUGAGACACGGCCCAGACUCCUACGGGAGGCAGCAGUGGGGAAUAUUGGACAAUGGGGGCAACCCUGAUCCAGCCAUGCCGCGUGAAUGAUGAAGGCCUUCGGGUUGUAAAGUUCUUUUGGCGGGGACGAUGAUGACGGUACCCGCAGAAUAAGCUCCGGCUAACUUCGUGCCAGCAGCCGCCGCGG